AUGGCAUUCUAUUCAGAUCAUCAUGCUUAUGCGAGCAACACUACAAACAACACAGAAAGUAUUCAAGAACUGAUAAGUAAGAUUUCCCAUCAAUUAGAUGAUUUAGCUCGGCAGCGAGAGGUAGUUUUUGAGGAUAGGCCUAGCUCUUAUGCUCCUUAUUCUAGAGGUAAUCCUUAUGUUGCUCCUACAUGCCAUAUUUGUGGAUCUCAGGGCCAUUCACCCGCUGAAUGUCAGCGUGGUUACUCUCACCCUCCCGAUUGUUAUGGCAUGAGCUUCGCCCCACAGCCUAGCUCAUACCAAAACAAUUACACACAUGGGUGGCCUGAAAACCAGAAUAUGUCAUAUAGGAGCAAUAACCCUGAGAUCUCAUCGUUUGCCUCUAGUUAUCCAAUGCAGGGAUUUAGGUAUGAAGAGGAGAGCCACAACUAUGCUCCACAACAGAUUUAUUCAGCUCCUACUCAUAUACCUCAACAUCAGGACAUGUUGCCAAUGGAGUUAAAUGGUCCUCCAUUUGGUCAACCAACAUCUUCAACACAAGUGCCCACACAAGAUGACUUUGAUGAUAUAGACAAGCUCACAUUGCUUGGUCUCGAGUUCACUUCGAGUGCCGAAGAUGAUCCAAUUAGGCCGGUGAUACUAGAGGAAAUGAAGAAGAUUAAGAGUGGAAAGGAGCUAGUGGAAGAAGUAAGGAAGAUUGAGAAGAACAUCAACGCUGUCAGUACUAUCUCUUCCCUCCUUGAGCUGAGUGUUGCCGGGAUAUCCCUUGAGGUGUGUGAGGUUCCAACACCUUCACAUUUAGCUGAGCAAGAUAGCGAGAGUCCAUAG
Molecule: ribosomal RNA, 825 nt
Filed under: Triticum aestivum (bread wheat)
Lineage: Eukaryota; Viridiplantae; Streptophyta; Magnoliopsida; Poales; Poaceae
Description: partial small subunit ribosomal RNA
Source: RNAcentral